UGGCGGCGUGCCUAAUACAUGCAAGUAGAACGCUGAAGAGAGGAGCUUGCUCUUCUUGGAUGAGUUGCGAACGGGUGAGUAACGCGUAGGUAACCUGCCUUGUAGCGGGGGAUAACUAUUGGAAACGAUAGCUAAUACCGCAUAACAAUGGAUGACACAUGUCAUUUAUUUGAAAGGGGCAAUUGCUCCACUACAAGAUGGACCUGCGUUGUAUUAGCUAGUAGGUGAGGUAAUGGCUCACCUAGGCGACGAUACAUAGCCGACCUGAGAGGGUGAUCGGCCACACUGGGACUGAGACACGGCCCAGACUCCUACGGGAGGCAGCAGUAGGGAAUCUUCGGCAAUGGGGGCAACCCUGACCGAGCAACGCCGCGUGAGUGAAGAAGGUUUUCGGAUCGUAAAGCUCUGUUGUAAGUCAAGAACGGGUGUGAGAGUGGAAAGUUCACACUGUGACGGUAGCUUACCAGAAAGGGACGGCUAACUACGUGCCAGCAGCCGCGGUAAUACGUAGGUCCCGAGCGUUGUCCGGAUUUAUUGGGCGUAAAGCGAGCGCAGGCGGUUUGAUAAGUCUGAAGUUAAAGGCUGUGGCUCAACCAUAGUUCGCUUUGGAAACUGUCAAACUUGAGUGCAGAAGGGGAGAGUGGAAUUCCAUGUGUAGCGGUGAAAUGCGUAGAUAUAUGGAGGAACACCGGUGGCGAAAGCGGCUCUCUGGUCUGUAACUGACGCUGAGGCUCGAAAGCGUGGGGAGCGAACAGGAUUAGAUACCCUGGUAGUCCACGCCGUAAACGAUGAGUGCUAGGUGUUGGAUCCUUUCCGGGAUUCAGUGCCGCAGCUAACGCAUUAAGCACUCCGCCUGGGGAGUACGACCGCAAGGUUGAAACUCAAAGGAAUUGACGGGGGCCCGCACAAGCGGUGGAGCAUGUGGUUUAAUUCGAAGCAACGCGAAGAACCUUACCAGGUCUUGACAUCCCGAUGCUAUUUCUAGAGAUAGAAAGUUACUUCGGUACAUCGGUGACAGGUGGUGCAUGGUUGUCGUCAGCUCGUGUCGUGAGAUGUUGGGUUAAGUCCCGCAACGAGCGCAACCCCUAUUGUUAGUUGCCAUCAUUCAGUUGGGCACUCUAGCGAGACUGCCGGUAAUAAACCGGAGGAAGGUGGGGAUGACGUCAAAUCAUCAUGCCCCUUAUGACCUGGGCUACACACGUGCUACAAUGGUUGGUACAACGAGUUGCGAGUCGGUGACGGCGAGCUAAUCUCUUAAAGCCAAUCUCAGUUCGGAUUGUAGGCUGCAACUCGCCUACAUGAAGUCGGAAUCGCUAGUAAUCGCGGAUCAGCACGCCGCGGUGAAUACGUUCCCGGGCCUUGUACACACCGCCCGUCACACCACGAGAGUUUGUAACACCCGAAGUCGGUGAGGUAACCUUUUGGAGCCAGCCGCCUAAGGUGGGACAGAUGAUUGGGGUGAAGUCGUA
This 1469-nucleotide ribosomal RNA is filed under the name Streptococcus thermophilus. RNAcentral describes it as "bacterial SSU rRNA". It matches the Rfam family "Bacterial small subunit ribosomal RNA". The record is from RNAcentral. Lineage: Bacteria; Bacillati; Bacillota; Bacilli; Lactobacillales; Streptococcaceae.